RNAcentral lists this non-coding RNA (23 nucleotides) under Cricetulus griseus (Chinese hamster). The record is from RNAcentral. Lineage: Eukaryota; Metazoa; Chordata; Mammalia; Rodentia; Cricetidae.
AGCGCGCGGCGGAGCAUGGUUUU